This 241-nucleotide unclassified non-coding RNA is filed under the name Hevea brasiliensis (rubber tree). The record is from RNAcentral. Lineage: Eukaryota; Viridiplantae; Streptophyta; Magnoliopsida; Malpighiales; Euphorbiaceae.
UUAGGUUAUCGCAAGCUUGCCACCUGGAGACGACGUUGCGCCUUCUCGUUGUUGAAGACGAUCCCGAUCUCAACCGCCAGCUCACGACAGCCUUGUCGGAUGCAGGCUAUGUCGUAGACCGCGCAUUCGAUGGGGAGGAGGGGCACUUCCUCGGCGACAGCGAGCCCUACGACGCCGUGGUGCUCGACAUCGGGCUCCCCAAAAUGGACGGCAUCUCGGUGCUGGAGGCCUGGCGGCGCAA